This 465-nucleotide ribosomal RNA is filed under the name uncultured bacterium. RNAcentral's name for it is "partial 16S ribosomal RNA". It matches the Rfam family "Bacterial small subunit ribosomal RNA", at positions 28 to 507 of the family's 1533-position model. The record is from RNAcentral.
GACGAACGCUGGCGGCGUGCUUAACACAUGCAAGUCGAACGGAAAGGCCCUGCUUGCAGGGUACUCGAGUGGCGAACGGGUGAGUAACACGUGGGUGAUCUGCCCUGCACUUCGGGAUAAGCCUGGGAAACUGGGUCUAAUACCGGAUAGGAGCCAUUUUUAGUGUGAUGGUUGGAAAGUUUUUUCGGUGUAGGAUGAGCUCGCGGCCUAUCAGCUUGUUGGUGGGGUAAUGGCCUACCAAGGCGGCGACGGGUAGCCGGCCUGAGAGGGUGGACGGCCACCUUGGGACUGAGGUACGGCCCAGACUCCUACGGGAGGCAGCAGUGGGGAAUAUUGCACAAUGGGCGCCAGCCUGAUGCAGCGACGCCGCGUGGGGGAUGACGGCCUUCGGGUUGUAAACUCCUUUCGCUAGGGACGAAGCUUUUUGUGACGGUACCUAGAUAAGAAGAACCGGCUAACUACGUG